This 497-nucleotide ribosomal RNA is filed under the name uncultured bacterium. RNAcentral's name for it is "partial 16S ribosomal RNA". It matches the Rfam family "Bacterial small subunit ribosomal RNA", at positions 28 to 507 of the family's 1533-position model. The record is from RNAcentral.
GAUGAACGCUGGCGGCGUGCCUAAUACAUGCAAGUCGAGCGAACGGACGAGAAGCUUGCUCCUCUGACGUUAGCGGCGGACGGGUGAGUAACACGUGGAUAACCUACCUAUAAGACUGGGAUAACUUCGGGAAACCGUAGCUAAUACCGGAUAAUAUUUUGAACCACAUGGUUCAAUAGUGAAAGACGGUCUUGCUGUCACUUAUAGAUGGAUCCGCGCUGCAUUAGCUAGUUGGUAAGGUAACGGCUUACCAAGGCAACGAUGCAUAGCCGACCUGAGAGGGUGAUCGGCCACACUGGAACUGAGACACGGUCCAGACUCCUACGGGAGGCAGCAGUAGGGAAUCUUCCGCAAUGGGCGAAAGCCUGACGGAGCAACGCCGCGUGAGUGAUGAAGGUCUUCGGAUCGUAAAACUCUGUUAUUAGGGAAGAACAUAUGUGUAAGUAACUGUGCACAUCUUGACGGUACCUAAUCAGAAAGCCACGGCUAACUACGUG